GUUCUAUUUUCGGCAGCACGUACACUAAAAUUGGAACGAUACAGAGAAGAUUGGCAUGGCCCCUGCUCAGGGGUGACACACAAAUUCGUGAAGUGGUCCAUAUUUUC
Small nuclear RNA from Peromyscus californicus insignis, 107 nucleotides. Lineage: Eukaryota; Metazoa; Chordata; Mammalia; Rodentia; Cricetidae. The record is from RefSeq and is a predicted model, not a curated record.